UCAAAGACUAUUUUUCAGUUUUUACAACUUUUGACUUUUUGUCUUAUUUAAAAAUUUUCUAUGAUUAGUAUUUUUAUUGUUAUCAGAUGGUAAAACAUGAACAAUACUUUAUGCGUGAUUAUUUUUUAUUUUUUCACAAAUUUUUUAAAUAAGACAGACGGUUAAACGUUGGACACAGAAACCCAAAAAUGAAGUCUUU
This is a non-coding RNA of Oryza meridionalis, 199 nucleotides long. NCBI's taxonomy places the organism in Eukaryota, Viridiplantae, Streptophyta, Magnoliopsida, Poales, Poaceae. The record is from Rfam.